This is a long non-coding RNA of Bombus pascuorum, 1484 nucleotides long. RefSeq lists it as uncharacterized. The transcript has 2 exons. NCBI's taxonomy places the organism in Eukaryota, Metazoa, Arthropoda, Insecta, Hymenoptera, Apidae. The record is from RefSeq and is a predicted model, not a curated record.
CGUCGCGGAACCGCGCUCAGUUUCGUUGGAAGGAGCGCCACGAGGCGGCAGCAUCGUUCUCCAGGCGAGAACUCGAGGCGUCGUCAGUGUGUCCGUUCGUUCGAGCGGCGUCGGAGCCCGCGCCGCCCCCCGAGUCCUCUCGGCGUCUCCGCGCCACCUGCCGCCGCGCGGCGCCGCGUCGCGACGCGCCUCCAUUGAAUCUAUCUCUCGCGGUGGCUCGGUCGUGUCUCUUUGAUCGCUGGCUCACUGGCCGCCACGUACGCGGAGGAUCCACGACGACGAGCAGCGAUCCGUGCGAGAGCCGCGGCGGGCGCGCUCGAAUGCCGGCCCUCUCUGUUUAUGAGAGGCGUCCCGACGCGACCGGCUGACCUAGGCCGGCGGCAAUUUCGACCGCGGAUUCGGAUCGGUUUGAUACGCGCGCGAACGCGCUGUUGCGCCCGCAGGAGACGAAGGAAAAAAACCCUGUCAAACAUAACGGGAUCAGCGAUCACACUCUGUUCCUGGGAACGAACGCGUGCAUCGAAAUCGAAUCGUGUUCCCGUGAAGUCUCGUAUUCCUUUCCUCGUGCAACCUCGCGGUACCUCGUCUCGUUAUUAUUAACGUGCCGACUGCAAUAAAUUGUGAUCCUCGUUGGGAUCCUUUUCGUGAUCCUCACUGACAAAGUUUGCGUGUUCAGUCGCGUGUCCUAUUUGCUACGCAUCACGAUCGAACCUGAUAAUACGGAUGUGAUGAUAAUCUGAUGGUGAUGAUCGCGGAGGAUACGAAGCGGAUCGACGACAAACCAGCAGGUGAAAGUGACUUUCCACGGCGAUUAGAGGCCGCCUGAAUCGACGGCGGUGCAGUCCAAGAGAGGCAGAUCUGAAAGGCCACGGUGAAACGAGGACAACGAGGAGUGGGAACACGAACGAGGGAUCGAAGAUCGUUGAAGAGAGUCUUCCGAGACUUCUCGUUUCCGGAGGUCUCGUUAAACGAAUCCUCGAAAGACCGAGGCCAACCGUGUAAUAUAGAAGAUAUUCUCCGGUGUAUCUCGUUGCUGAAACAAUUCCCCGGAGAAGUUUAUUGUUGAUUAUUCAGACGAAUUUAUCGGAACUCGUUGUUGUUGACCCCUCGCGACCGUUAAACUUGUUGAUCCGCGCAAGUGUGCAUCGUGUUUCGCUAGGAGCCACCGUAGAACGCCAUCGAACGUUUCUUCCUUCGCGUCGAAAUGAGUACGAAUUCGACGUAGGAUAGAAAAGGCAAAAGAAAAAAAAAAAAGAGCACGUUGAUACUCGGAACGGGAAACUCUGUGUCUGCUCUUGUGAUCGCUCGAGCCUCGAGUGCUCGGAGAACACGGCUGUUUCCGAGAGAGGUUGCUCCGGGACAGAGGAAAACCAAUGUGGAGGGAUAGGGUUUUGUUUAUUGAGUCUAUAAGAAGGUUGUUGGAGUUUCGUGCGCCGGGAAACCUGUUUCUUCGUAAAGCUUUCUCGUCACGGGAGGGAAAUUUA